This 717-nucleotide long non-coding RNA is filed under the name Setaria viridis. RNAcentral describes it as "long non-coding RNA (SVIR_LNC005674)". Lineage: Eukaryota; Viridiplantae; Streptophyta; Magnoliopsida; Poales; Poaceae. The record is from RNAcentral.
GGUUGGGGAUCUGACUUAGGAAUUUGAUGGCCUGGUGGAUGUUGAUGAGAUUUACCAUGGGUUGUCGAGGUUAUUUAAUAGCGAGUUUGGCAACGCGACCGCUCCCAAAGCAUUUUUGCUAAAGAAUUCAUCGACCAGCAUGGUGAGUCUACAUUUAUUUGUGUUGUGAUGAGAUGUUCUUUGGAGUUUCGAUCUUUUUUGAUUUGAAGUAUUGCUUGAAUUUAUAGAGUGAUCCCUGCGUGUAUUUAUGCCCUCCAGCAUUGCCGGUGGAGCUCAGGCGGCGCCACCCAAGGUUGUGCCUAUCGAUGUGCUGAUUGCACCGCAACCGAGCCCUACGUUUGAGUCGGACUUGUCUCUGGGGCCUGCUGAUGGCGGAGAUCGGGUUGUAGGUCGGGAGACACGGCAGGCAACUCGCAAGCAACCCCUCUCAAAGGCCUCAGAACCGGUCUAGAAGAAGAAAACGUUGGCCGGCUGGAAGAAGGCUGCGCCGACUUCUGUUGCUACCUCUGGGUCAGGUGGUGAGGCAGGGGCCGGCAUGGCUAGCCUGGCUGUGUAGGAGGUUAGGCUAGAGCUCGCAGUGGCUACCGUAGCUGACGUGGCGCGCCUAAAGGAGGCGCUGAAGCAGAAAAUGCGGAGCAGGUCUAGUGGCGAUGCUCUUGCUCCGCCGCAAGAGUUGCAGUCGAAAAUGCGCCUGAGGAAGGGCAAUCUGUAAGUUAU